This 1502-nucleotide long non-coding RNA is filed under the name Ananas comosus (pineapple). Its description in RNAcentral is "long non-coding RNA (ACOM_LNC021881)". The record is from RNAcentral. Lineage: Eukaryota; Viridiplantae; Streptophyta; Magnoliopsida; Poales; Bromeliaceae.
UGUCACACUUCUUUCUUUUUUUUGUUAUUCUUUUUCUUAACUGAACUAGAAAUAUAAAACAACUAAGGGUAUAUUUAUUUCAACGUAAGUAGACUUGGGGUGAAAGUGAACUUUAGAUUGAAGUGGAGUUUAGGUACAAAUUAAUUCACUUCCGCUGUUUGUUUAACUGUGAAAGUGUAGUUCUGUGAGUUCUGUUGUUUAUUUAGUAGGAAGUAGAUGACGUAAAAAGUGUAGCUCUCCAUCCCCGGCAUACUUACCUCCGAAGUGAUAUUAUUGUCUAUUUUGUAAAUUAGUGAAUAAUAAAUUAUAAUAAAUAAAAAUUAAUAUAAUUAUAUAUAUGUAUAAUUAUAAAAUAAAAUUUAAAAAAAUUAUAUUAUUUGUUUGCAUAUAAAUUAUUAUAAUGUAACAAAUAAAAUUCUAAAAUUAAAAAAUUAUUAACAUUUAACAAAUUCAUUUUUCAUCAUUUUCUAAAUAUACAAAUUAGACAAAAAAUAUUUUAAAACUUAUCUAACCAAAUUUGAUCACAUUACCUAACCAAAUUUAACAAGCUCCUUUGCCUCUUUGCACUUCACCGGAAUUGACUUCGCCCCGUGAGAGGGCGAAGUCAAUUACCCUAUUUUGGGUGAACUCGACUUUCGGCCGUAAUAAAAUUACGACAAAACAAACAACGAAAGUGAUAGUUUACGGCGUAAACAACUUCCCCCCUCUCCACUUCCGCCUCACUUUCACCCAAACAAACACACCCUAAACUUUAAACUUAGAACCUCGCGUAUUUAGUAUUAAUCCUUUAGCUGACAACAUUAGAUAUGGUCGGAAAGUUUUUAAAAUUUCAGUAAAAAAAAAAAAGAGAAAACAUAUUAAGACAGGAGUGAGGCUACUAUGCUAUCGGAAGCACGGAGCCUUCCGUGUUUCCAGCUCGUUUUCGAUGUUGCGACUUUCGAAUCGUCGAUCGGCUCCGUUAAACUUGAUCUAGAGUAUUUGAAGUACCUAGAAAAUAAAUUUUAUGAUUUUACGAUAUCAUUUGCCUAGUGAACGAAGGGGCUCAAAAUCAACGGCUGAAAAUAAAAAUCUUACAAAAUGUAAUAAUAUGACAUUAAAAUUUUAAAUCAAAGAUAUUGAUCUUGUUUUAUAUAGUAUAAAGAAUCUUCUAUCAAAAUUUCACGUAAUUUGGAUAUUUCUACACCGUUAAACUUGCAAACGGCUCACUACGGCCGUUAAAAUUUGUUGAUUUUGAGCCAAUUCGAUCACUAGGCAAAUGAUAUCGAAAAAUAAUAAAAUUUAUUUUCUAGGUACUCCAAAUACUCUAGAUCAAGUUUAAUGGAGCCGAUCGACGAUUCGAAAGUUGCAACAUCAAAAACGAACUGGAAGUAGAAAAGGCUCCGUACUUCCGAUAGUACAGUAGCCUCACUCUUCAGACAGAUAAAGUAAUACAAAUCAGAAGCAGUUAAGGGUAUAAGAUUUACACUUAUACUAUAGAAUGUACGGAUAGUAUUGCUUAUAGU